CCAAGAAUUACCCAGGGAUCUUGUAAAAAUGUAGAUUCAGUAGGUGUGGGAUUAAGACUGACAUUCUGUAUUUCUAACAAGAUCCCAGGUGAUACUGAU
RNAcentral lists this microRNA precursor (99 nucleotides) under Marmota monax (woodchuck). The record is from RNAcentral. Lineage: Eukaryota; Metazoa; Chordata; Mammalia; Rodentia; Sciuridae.